RNAcentral lists this transfer RNA (73 nucleotides) under Oryctes borbonicus. It matches the Rfam family "tRNA". From Rfam's summary of the family: Transfer RNA (tRNA) molecules are approximately 80 nucleotides in length. Their secondary structure includes four short double-helical elements and three loops (D, anti-codon, and T loops). Lineage: Eukaryota; Metazoa; Arthropoda; Insecta; Coleoptera; Scarabaeidae. The record is from Rfam by way of RNAcentral.
GACUCCGUGGUACGGUUUGAUAGAGCGCCCGUCCGGCAAACGGAAGUCGUAGUUUCGAAUCCUAUCGGAGUUA